RNAcentral lists this ribosomal RNA (292 nucleotides) under uncultured Acidobacteriota bacterium. Its description in RNAcentral is "uncultured Acidobacteria bacterium partial 16S ribosomal RNA". The record is from RNAcentral. Lineage: Bacteria; Pseudomonadati; Acidobacteriota.
GGACUACCAGGGUUUCUAAUCCUGUUUGCUCCCCUAGCUUUCGUUCCUCAGCGUCAGUAGUGAUCCAGCGCGCCGCUUUCGCCACGGGUGUUCCUGCAGAUAUCUACGCAUUUCACCGCUACACCUGCAAUUCCACGCGCCUCUCUCACACUCGAGCACAGCAGUUUCGGGAGCAGCCUCUGGGUUGAGCCCAGAGAUUUCACUCCCGACUUGCCGCACCGCCUACGAACCCUUUACACCCAGUAAUUCCGAACAACGCUGGCCCCCUACGUCUUACCGCGGCUGCUGGCAC